ACUCUUAUUAUGUAUGGACAGUCCAGGAACGAGACCUUCACCUAACCCUCAGAAGGUUGGCUCGUUGUUAACAAGCAAAUGCGAAGGAAAAGAGCUCAAGUUCAAGGAUAAAAACAACCGACUACAUCAGAAGAAAAGGCAGAUGGGGCACCUGCUACCGGAACCGGAUCCCGUUGAAGUUUACGAAUAGAGUUCGGUCUAACGCAACCCAACUAGUUAUUAUUAUUCAAUAGCAGUCCCUUGCCCAGCUGGGUCGAGGUACCAUGCCUUCUCCUUGACAGAUGGAGAUAGCUUCGAAUGAUGAGAAAGUGCGAUACCUACUUUAAUGGGAAAUGCUGUAAGCUCCGGCUUUGCGAUAUGACCCACGUUGCAAUGUUCUAAGAUGAUGCUUCUGGAAAGCGGAAUUAAUAGAAUAUGCUAAAGUUGCGGUUAGCCUUUCACCUUCCUUCUUUGUGAUGGAUACCCUACCCGAAUCGUUGCUCCUACUCAAUGUAAUUAUUUACUAUACAUUGACAGAUGACCGCUAGUGCAGUAAGCAAUAAGUUCCCCACUAAUUCAUAUUGAGUUUAUUGACUUAAGCCAUCUCUUCACGAUUUGGUAAAAGCUUUCCAGCAGUUUAAUACACCUAUUCAUCAGGAUAAUCCCGAGCGUUAGCGUUUUCAACUUCCUUCCGUUUUCGACUUCCCGAACCCGAAGCGGGCAUCUCUAGGAGAAAGACCAAAGAAUGCCAACAUCGCAGGUUUUUUCAUUCAGCUGGUAGUCCAAGAACGCGUGCUUCUCGCCUCUCCCCAUCCCUUGGCCAACCGCACCCUUCACUUAAUGAAUGCGAUGCAGCCACCAAGGCCUCCUUCUAUUGGUUAUUGAAAGGUCCUACCAACCAAUACGAUUUACUCGCAUCAAAGGAGCGGGGGCAGGGAUUGUUUUCAUGACCCCAGAAAGGUCAAUGAUCCCUUACUCGUUCACACUGACUUCAGCAGCUUCAAACAGGGCUGCUGAAUAGGAAGCCCUAAUGGAUUGGGUAUAGCUUUGGAGAUGAAGAUUGAUCCUCGUGCUUACAGUUCUCAACUGAUCGUUAAUCAACUGAAAGGGAUCUACACUAUUAAUCAAGAGGUCUCUCAAGCCUUACUUCAUCAAGGCACGCAAGCUCCUAAGCUAAUAAGAUCUUUUGUCAAUACUUGAUCACCAGUUAGAAAGGGAAAGGAGGAUCUAUCUCUUUAAAGGAGGGGAAUCGAUGAAAGAGGUCGUAAAGCAAGAGCUGCUUCAUCUAAUAGUUCAGUCCUUAGGCCGACAUUCAAUAGAGAGACGGGAGUAAACCAUUUCACAUAGCCGGGCUCUUGCCCAUUCUUUCUUUCGUGGGCAUGUGCUAAAGGAAGCGUAGAAGUAGGAGUAGCAGGCACUGGUCUUGACCCUUACCCCCGUAAGGGGAUCUAAGACCCUUAGGCCAAUUAGACUGAAUUAGUGGUAGUAUGCCUUUCCUGAUUACUUUUUUUCUGCGCUAUACCUUUACUGCUUGGAGGAAGAGAAUCAGCUGUUACAGACCCGGUUGUGAAAGAAGGCAAGUCUACUGACUUGGCUCUUUGAAGGACAACUUCCCUUGUUAAUGUACGAGCAGGGGACGAAAGAUGCCCACAAUCAGAUGCUAGAGGAACUGAACUGCCAAUAUGUAUAUCAAGAUCAAUAAUAAAGGCAAGAUUAUGUUCUGCUCUUGUCUCAGAUUUCACCUCUCUGCGUGGGAGAGGGGAAUGAGGAGGUAGCGUCGUAGGGACUCGAGCUUUCUCGUUCUUUUUUCUUUUCGCUUUCGGAUAACUCUUUCUUUCUUGGCAACGGUAAACACUCCCUAGCUAUUUAGCCUGCUAAUCUAAAGUUUGUAUUUGUGCUAAUACUUUCGCAUUAAUCGGUAAAACGCUUGGGCGAUCCCACUUAUAAAAAGACUGAUAUUGGGCGAGGGACUCAUACAACUACACUUAUGCGGAUACGAAGGCUGGUGAGAAUGCUACAUAGGGAAUCCUACUAAAGCACUGGCUUACGCUAUCACAAGUAAAGCUCUAACAUGCUUACAGAAAGCCCAAGGAAUGGAAGCGAGAAAGACUGGAAAUACAGAUAAGAUCUCAACCUAACCUAUCCAACGAGUUAUUUCACCCUUUGCCUUGGAUUAGGCACUCCCACUAUAUGGGACUUAGAAUGUUACCAGUAACUAGACCUUCUGUGAAGGAAGCUCCUACUAGCUAUGCUAUAUUAAGCACUGUAUAGUCAAAAUGAUAGCAAUAAACCUUGAAAGAGUUAGCUCCUUAGAUGGAAUCACAAUCAAUGCUGUUCGCAAGGAGAAAAGCUAUCAAAGAGAGUCCUCUAAGUCCCGGCGGUAUGCUCCUUACGCUCGUUUACUAGUUAGAGCCUUAUGAAAGGGAAGCACUUUUCCUAGUUCGAUUGGUAGUCUGAAGGGACGGAGUGCAUGGCCGGGAAGCUCGACUGAGAAAGAAAGAAGUAGAGGAUGCCGGUUUUUGAGUAGCAGCGGGAGCCAAUGACUCUGCUGCCUGAGAAUGCUUUCCAUGAGAAGGAUAGCGAAGGUCGGUAGGGAAACCCUCUACUUAACAGUAGAGCUACUCCGUUAUUCGUUCUUUGCAGAACUCAGAACUCCGUACCUCACUUAACGAGUCCCGUCCAUGGAAUGAAAUGCCCUGUUGCGGUCUGGUAUGAUAGGUAUCGGGAUGCUAGAGGUCGACCUAUGGUUCAAUCUAAGUGGCUACUUUCCCAGACAAGUACCGGGGAAUGAAUGCAAAGUGGAAUCGACUGAGAAUGAAGAAAGUUCGCCGGGCUGAUAGAGACCCGCUAGAGGAAUGAGUGGGAUUAGUCUCUAAUGGGCUUUACUUGGACGGCCAUCCGAAUCUGCCUGUGCGGGAAUUUUUUAUAGCUAGGAAUUAGCUAGCGAGUGGAAUACCUGGAACGAGUUUCUAGCGACUGUUUGGACACGUUCCAAGCCGGAUGGAAAAGAUAGCUUUUCGCGAGAGAUGAAGGGACACUCACUCUUAUCUGCUGUCCGAAGCAUACCGAAUUCGAACCCAUUUUUAUCCUAUAAUCUCCGGACUGGUGCUUUGCUUUCGGUUCUUCGGAGGAAACCUUACCAGACCACCACCCGACUUCGUUGCUUGUGUGUGCUUGCACAUACAUAGCCGAACAGGGCCUACAGAAGUCAACCUUUCUUUUCUAAAUGCACACGCUUUACUGUGCGGACGGAAAGCCCUCGAUUAAUGCCAUGGCUAUAAUAAGACAGCUUCGAAGACGAAUAAUGCUAUGGCAAACCCUACUUAUCUUUUAUCUGUCUUCCACCCCAUUCUUUCUUUAAAGAGGGGUGGAACCCUCAAACUAAGUGACCUGGUACCCCAACUCAAAAUUUAUCGUGUACUUCUUGUGUUUACAGCAAGAUCUCUAUCUAAGUGUUGACAUCAAAUUCCUUACGGUAGAGCCCGAUCUUGAUUUAUAUGAAUUGCUGGGCGGUUUCCUCAGCUAAUUAAGAAGCCCUUAUUUCGAUUGACUCAGCUACUGAUACAGAUGUUGGCUACUCACAGACGUUCUCAUAUCAUACAUAAUCUACUGGAAAGCUAGAUCUUGGAUGUGCAGAUUUAGUUUAAUAUUCAUAAGUAGCAGGGUACCUGUUCUUGAGUCAUAUCUGCUGUCUCGACUAUACAUAUUUCCCAUCCAAAAAAAUGUUACAAUGAACUCCAAGCUUCGAGUAGGGCUUCGGUGCCUUCUCUCAAUCGGCAAGGAAGCUAGCAAUGAAGGGUAUUUAUCCAAUGAGGCUUUCUCCUUUACUGCAGCCGGUGGAUUGGUCUUUUUUUUUAGACCUCUUCCCGAUCUCAAGAAUACAAGAGGGAGCUCGCACUAGAUCUUCGAGUGGAAGAUAUGGAAGGACUAGCUUGGGAAGGAGGAAGUGUGAACAGCUCCCAAAGGCUUGAUUUUCUGAGUUAUGUUCGGACAUCGAAGCUAGUUCCAUACAAGGUGAACCUUCCUUCCUUCUUUGCUUGGUUCCUGCGCUAACGCCUAAUAGAUAGAUGUGGGCUUUCUUUCGGGCUAGUGCAGUGCGCUCAACCGCUUCCAGCUACAACUCAACGUACCGGGACCACAACUAAGCCUUUAGUCGAGCCAGUUUACUUACUCGGAUUCUUCCCCGGCAUUUGUCAAUGCGCUUUUCUGAGUUUUCCCUCGUUUUGGCUCACUCCCGCUCGGGAACUUUCUUGAUUAUGAUUUUGAUACACAUCGGCCAAAAAGCCUUUCUUUCCUUCAUGUCAUCCGAAUCAGGCGGUUAUGCAUGAGUUAGGCGGGCUAUCGUGAUAGAGCCUUUAAUGCCAGGAGUCCCGAAUUCUUCCAUACAGUUCGAGAAGGGUUGCGAAAAGCCAUCGACCAAUAGUGCCCUAGUUACCUGCGGGUCGGGCCGGUCAGCCUUUCUUUGGCUAAGCUGAUUAAGAUCGAUUUAUUAGAGUGAACUUUGAUCUCCUUUACUUGAUUGAUAGGAAAGUGACCCUUGGCUAUCUUACGAAGAGCCUAACUCUCUCAUCUAAAAAGAUUGACACUAAGCGAAGAAUGCAGACUGGAAACUCAAAUUCCCUGAAGCUCAUGUUGUGGUUCUGCCUAGAACACAUUCGGAUCACAAUCCGAUUCUCAUUGACUCUGCUGAUUACAUUUAUAAUUUCCGUCAGAAUAGACCCUUUCGCUAUCAAGCUGCUUGGCUAAACCAUGAUCAGUUCCACAAUAUCUUCAAGCAAGUCCAUCCGUUCAAGUGGCCAUUCCAUCACUUCUGCAACCUCAGCUUUACUUUAACAGUAGCGGUUAAGGAUUGGAAUAAGGCAGUUUUCGGUAACUCACAACAAGCGCCGAACCUUAGCCCGGCUAGAGGGCAUCCAGCGGGCCCUUACUCAUAAACAUUCGGACUUCCUCAUGAAAUUAGAGAAGGACCUCAUCACCUACUACAACCAAUUACUUAGAGAUGAGGAAUUACACUGGUGCCCCGAUCCCUGAUGGGCCAAGGACCUCUGAUUGGUUUAGAUCUAUUCUGCCGGUUCCUCCGAGGCUGCUUUCAUUGCUUUCUUCAUACAUACGAGGUAGUUUCAACCACCCCACUCGGCAAUAGGAAAUCCCCUUCUCGACCAACUGAUCUACGAUGUUUCGUCACGCAUGCAAUGACAGAAGGACAGAAGCGCGCUAGUGCUCGUUGCAUUUCCCUCCUACUCGGGUAAAGUAUUUAGCUCGUUUGCUGUCAGGAAUUCAGUAGAGUGGCCGGUCGUUGAAAGAAGCAAGCCUAUAGCCAACGAAGGUGCGAAGGAAAUCCCAGAAGAAGAGUUGAUAAAGACCGCAUGCAGCACGAAGGAAGCAAUGUCCGCUAAAAGCUUAUAUAAGCACCAAAUACAACUGAUUCAACCAGGAAAAAAACCUUACGCCAAUGAAGGAUCAGUCGAAUCCGGGCACAGCGCUUUACCUUUACUACGCCAAUUCGGCUAUUAAAUUAAGCCUUACGAAGACGUUGUGACAAUAGCCCCCUUUCUUCUUUCCCGGCUACAGAGCCGCCGCCUCCCGCUCCGUGUAGCGUCUGUCUCUAAUUCAAUGACUUUCUUCCACGAAAAAAGCAGUCUGGAACUCACGUAAUUCUUGAUCUCUUCUGAUCCUAUCUUAACUUG
Molecule: long non-coding RNA, 5666 nt
Filed under: Manihot esculenta (cassava)
Lineage: Eukaryota; Viridiplantae; Streptophyta; Magnoliopsida; Malpighiales; Euphorbiaceae
Description: long non-coding RNA (MESC_LNC013158)
Source: RNAcentral